This 100-nucleotide microRNA precursor is filed under the name Anopheles gambiae str. PEST. RNAcentral describes it as "partial AGAP013696-RA". The record is from RNAcentral. Lineage: Eukaryota; Metazoa; Arthropoda; Insecta; Diptera; Culicidae.
CAUCAUCAUCAUCAUCGUCAUCAUCAUCGUCAUCAUCAUCGUCAUCAUAAUCAUCGCCAUCAUCGGCGAGACGCAGAGAUAAGAUGGUUUAUGGACAUUU